CAUGCGCUAUUGGGUGGAAAUCGGUCUGUUCCGUCUGAUUGCAAAGGAAACAUUAUCCUAGCUAAAAGGACAGGGCUUCUGCCAUGUCCUUGUGCUUAUUUGGUACCUGCACAGGCCUGUGUUCCUCAGAGGGAGCUUUGCUCUUGUGCCAAACCAGCUCUAGUUUGGGUUAGAUUCUGUUCCAUCAAGUGGGCUGUUUGAUCUCUAUCUUCUCUCUCCCACUAGGAAUUUGAUUGUUGCCAUCCUGUAGCCCAAGUCAGGCUGUGGUGGGAACAAAGCACACGAAAGUGAAGCCUGCUUCUGCGGUGUGACUUCUGCUCUCAAGCUCUUUUGUAUACAGAAGAGGGUUCAAGACUCCUAAGAAGCACAGCAGAACAGGAACAAGAGCCUCAGCUCCUGGCUGAGGGAGAGGAGUCUCAGGAGACAGCUGAGCCCAGCUCAUGGACUCCUUGCAGAACAAAGAAUGUCAUGGCACUAUUUACGAUUUUUUGAAAGUUUUAUUUUUGAUGUCUUCAUUUUUUUUGUUUAUUUUCAGCAUGGGAAAUAUUGUCUUAUGAUCAGCUGAAUUUUAUUAUCCUCCCUUGGAAACUUCAAGGUGGGGGGAAAGAARGAGAGAGAGAGAAGGGGACUCUCUAGGAAGAUCAUCUGCUCCAGGCAUUAUGGGCUUGAUGUGACUACUGAUGUGUUCCUGCUGAGCAGCUGAGUGGCGAGGGCAGAUGGGGGAGCUGCGCAGCAUUGGGAACUGUUGACGAAGCAGCCAGACUUUUGGGGAAGAGGGAAGAAAUAGUUGUUCCAGUGAUGUGAAAACAUCUGUGUGCUUGCUAGUAAGGCGUGGGUAUGGAAAGCAGCCAGCUGCUGAGCCAGGAUUUGAAUCCAUUGCUUACUACCAUUGCCGAGUGAAAUAUGACCCCUGCCAGGUAAGAGCAGUGGGAACCUGAGCAGGACCUGUCCUGCUACAGAUCCACGUCUGAGCCUACUCCACUUGUUCAUGCCACAAUAACUGCGUGCAGCAGCCAUCGCCUGCACCUUGCUGGUGGCACCCCUGUCCCAGAGCAGGGGGCCUUUGGACGUGGCUGCGGGGCCACGUGGCGUGGGGCCGGUGUGGACACAGCUCUUAAGCAGCACGGCGUCAGCGGGAAGGCGCUUCCGCUAGCGGGGCUGGGGCUGGCUCCCGGCCUCGAGGCGGGAGGCUUCGCAGAGGCCUUCGCAUCACCCGUGUUCAGACUUCUGCUCCUCGUUGACUUCACCCUCUGAAACCACUUUUGAAGACUGGCGAGCGUUAUAUAACACUGGAUUUGAACUCCCAUUUAGAAAAUGGGAGCAGAAGAAACGGGCAAAUAUCACUGAUCUUGACAAAUUUGAGUGGAGCAGCGAGCAGGACCCUGCGUGGGCUGAAAGCGCUCGCUCYUGCGCAGUGCUCGGCAGCAGGGGGGAGGAAGGGUUUAACCAGGCGUCCGGACCUGCCCAGACCCGGGACUAUUGAACCACCGUUUGGUAGAAAUGCAGCUUUGCUUAAUUUUCUCAUAUUUUUUUUGUGUGCUUAAUUUAUUAAAAUAGUUGCUGUAUAAUUUAUUUUCAUAAA
This 1582-nucleotide long non-coding RNA is filed under the name Apteryx rowi (Okarito brown kiwi). Its description in RNAcentral is "lncRNA (ENSARWG00000018351.1)". Lineage: Eukaryota; Metazoa; Chordata; Aves; Apterygiformes; Apterygidae. The record is from RNAcentral.